This is an RNA transcript of Solenopsis invicta (red fire ant), 4952 nucleotides long. RefSeq lists it as uncharacterized. The record is from RefSeq and is a predicted model, not a curated record. The transcript has 5 exons. NCBI's taxonomy places the organism in Eukaryota, Metazoa, Arthropoda, Insecta, Hymenoptera, Formicidae.
ACAUUCAAUCUCGAGAUUUCGAAAUCUUAACAAAAGAUUUGAAAAGGUUAUAUUAAAACUUAAUUACAAAUUAUUUGGAUAAAAAGAAUAAGUGAUCAGGGCACUUAUCUUAAAAUUAUUAAGACAUUAAUUUAUUAUAUCCCUCAUUCAAAUUGCAUAAAACAAGCAUAAAGUGAAUAAAAUAACCAACGAGAUAACAGUGAAGCGAAAACUUGGUGCGCUCAAUCCUGAUUAUGCAUUACAUUCAAUAGUCAUUGAAGAAACUGAUUCUGAAAUUUUAAUUCUUACUCCCAUUAUCUAAUAUUCCUAAUAUUCUUUUCGUACAGUAUAUUCGAAGAAAAUUGCAGAGUUAACAUGAAUCGAACAACGAAAAGUCGCGACGACGCGGUCGAUUGCUUAUUAGUAGUUUUCUUACCUAAAAGUGCACACGUUGCCCAUCGUUGAUUCAAAUCGCUGCGUCGCAUUGGAGUGAUUUGGAGUGAAUUCGGCUAACAGUGGAGCGUCGCGAACAUACGAUGGAUUGGUCUCGAAUCGUCGCGACGCAUUUCAGCAUUUCAUCGCGGUAGGUCACAGUCGCAACGAACGAUUCAACUCCGGCAUACGCGUGUGACAAUCGUACGAUGACGAGCCUGCACAAGAUACUUUAUACCGUAUUUCGCGAAUUCACGGAAAUCUGUCACACGCGAAUGUCGCGCGAUUAACGGUUCGGAGCGACGCGCCGACGCAGUAGCCGCCGUAUUACCUAACCUACCUACGCAUUUCGAGCAUCGCUGAUCGCAACCGGCGGGCGACCGGCCGGUGGUCGGCGUAAGCAGCGGAAACUGCGAUCUCGUCGCGUAUAUUUCGGUACGUACAGCCACAAUGCGAGUUUUUGCGUGCGGUGUAGAGUGAAAUGAAUGUCUGUGUAAGAUGACGAUUAUCCUGAGACGUGCGCGUUAGUUGUUCGGUCGACGUGCGCCAGGCGACGAAAAGUUAACCUCCUCGCGAGUCCCCCCUUCGCCUCGCAACAAGUUUCGCGUGCCGUCAUCGACUUUGAGCGGAUUCCCUUUGUACAUACGUCCGAGUCUUGUGUGUAACAAUACAGUGAAACGAAUGAACAACGAUCGCUCCGAGACGCUCGCGUUCUCGCGAGACGGCGUGAAGGUCACCGUGCGAUUCAGGACCGUUCGCGUCGCUGCAGCGUUUCACGCCCCCUUUAUGUGCCGUCAUCAAUGUCAAGCGGACUUUUCUUCGUACAGCUGCAUCCAAGUUUUCAUAUAUAACGCACAGUGAGAUAAACAUUCCGCGGAAAUAACAAUCUGAGACGCAUUCGUAUCUGAAUCGUAACUGGAUCCUGACGCGAUCAUGUCUCUCUCUCUCUCUCUCUCUCUCUCUCGCUACGUUAUGACGUGACAAAAUCUGCUUCGACGAUUAGUCGGAAGUGCCAUCGACUAAAUGUCGCGCGUCGCUUUGAUAAUUAUUACGCGAUCGUAAAUAGUCUCUCGUUCGCGUGCGUUGUGUUAUCAGGAAUUAAAGAACGGACAUGAUAUUGAAAAACAAUCCUAAUUCUAUUCCAAAUUGUACAAAGCGUACACAUUUUGGUUUAAUUGAGCAAUCGUGAGCAACGUUAUACUUUGUGCGUUCUCGUGUACAUGUGAUCAAGAUGUGUUCAGCAAUUGGAAAGCGACCCCAUGCGUCAGUGUGGCGUUAAUACAUUCCGAGAGGAAGCGGAGGUCCAGGAGGCAACGACGGAACAACGCGUACACUGCCUACGGAAGUGACGGGUGCAUGUCUUACAUCGCGCGAUGUGGAGGUCUCCUCGGGGUCCGACGCGCGACGACGGGCGCCGGGCGCCGGGCGCCGGGCGCCGCGAUGCGUCAACCCGUACGACCGACGGGCGACGCGACGCUCGACCGGGGCCGGUCUCCUCCCGGACCUCGCGCCCGCGGCGAGAGCAUGGCGUGGCCCCAGAGAAUCCAGUGUUCGUACAAGAAAACAAGAUUCAGCAAGAGCGAUGGAAGUGAAAAGUUCGGGGCCGGGAGAUUAUUCGGCCGUGGCCGCGACGAAAAGGCACGAGGAUGGGCGCCGGCUUUAAAUCCCCAUCGUAAACACACGCGUCAGAGGCUCUCAACGUGGCUCGCAUCUGGGAUACCCGAGGGCUACGGAGGGCAGGUGGUAUUUCCAAAUAACAAUCCUCUGCUCUUUGUUAAUUUCAACAUUAGAGUUCGAGCAAAUCAUUUUCACUUUCAUCCAUUUCACUAAAAUUAAAUCAAAUAUCCACAUCUCGAUAUAGAAAUAAUGUAAAUUAGCGCAAAAUUAACUUGAGCGAAAAGUUUCUCGCUAUACAUUAGUAUGAUUUCUAUGUCUAAUAAUCGUCAGGCGAAAUUGCAAUUGUCUGAAAGAUGACAAAUAUUCAUGAUGGACGAGCUCGAGCGGGUAAAGUGGCUAAGACCCGAUGCAUGAGUUGAAUUCCAGAAGUGAGGACCAAUCAUGUUCAAUCGAUCGGCCUGAACUCGCCAAAUGUAAACCUCUACUUCUACGGAACGAGAAUUCGUACAAAACAAAGGUUUCAAACGCGAUUUAAUUUAGAAGCGGAGAAAAGCUGGCCAAACUCGCGGCUGUACGACGCCCGUCUAGAUUUAGAUCGUCAGGACGUGUUUAACUUAAUCUUCCCUCGUACAGCUUCUUUUAGCCCUUUCGCGGUCAACCACGCGGUACGGCGACGCGUAAACUGAACGAAUGAGAAGGAGAGAGAAAGAAAAAUAAAAAGAUGAAGAGGAAAAAAAGAAAGGCCAGAUGCCAGAAGCGUGAAAAAACAAAGACAAACAUUUCUUUUGCUUCUUUCAUAUAUAAUUCGGACUUGACUACAACCUCCGAGAAGUCGGUGUGGUAUAACUCUCCCUUUGAUAAAAGAGAAAAGCAAAAUUGGCAGGUUCACAAUAUACUUUCCAGUUUUUCAAUAGCGUAUAAUCAAAUAGCGUACUGUCAAAUGCAAGAUGAAAACAAGUCUUGCACAAUGAUGUGAUGACUUGAAAUGAAAAACCCAAACGUUCAAUCGACUAUUUUGAAUAAAAGUAUAUCUUUACGCAAGAUUAAAUUGCGCUUCACUUAUCGCAUCUGUAUUCUCACUUGCUCUUUUUUAUUCCCAUUUAUCAAUAAAAUAGAUACUAUUCAGUUUUUGCAUUCAUCCAAAAGUUUUUUGUAUAAAGAUAAGUGUAAACAAUGAAAAUAUAAUACAAUGACUAAUUGACAGCCUUAGAUACCUAGGACAUUGUGUGGGUGGGAAGCAGGAAAUGAAUUCAAAGCUCAUGUCACUUUAAAAACGCGUCUCUUUCAUUUAUUUAAUCAUUGUCAAAAUCGAAAUAACGUAUCACGUUUUAAUAAAAUAAAAAUAAUUUCCAUGUUUUUUUUCAGUAUUUUGGCUGAGUAAAAAAAUAGUUUUUUUUUCUUUUACUUCGAGAAUUCAAGAAUAUCCGUUUUCUUCAUCUCUCCGCGGAGAACAAUGUAUCUCUAUUGCUCGACGAUAUUAGAAAUGAGAAAUCCGGUAGCCCCGAAACCGCAGGCAGGCUGAUCUUCACGCUGAGCGUCCUCGUCGCCCACGCCAGGCCAGGCGAUUAUCUCCCAAUAUCUCAAUGCAGCAUGUAAAACGCCUAUCGCGUAUACUCGUGACGCGAUGUCCGGCACCGCUACCUUCCUCGUCGCUCCGCUUCCACUCUCUGCUCCCUCCUGCCGCGCUUCUUUCCUCCACCGUUUCUUUUUCACGAUAAGAAAAGGAGGAGUUUGCCUGCAUACCUCGAAGCUAUGCGGUACACAGAUGCAGGCAGAGCGCCGGAGAGAAACGAUGUACUUAUACGGACGCCGAUAGCCGAGAGAGAAAAAGGAGAGAGGUUUGAUGACCUUUUGUGCUGGGAGAGAUUAGGCGAAUUGUAGGGGCGCCAGUGCAGAUAGAUGCCAUAGGGAGCCAAUGUGGAAUAGCUUAAAGAGGAUAAAAGGCGAGUCGCGGUGGCGCCAUACUCGAGAAUUUGCACGGCAUACCUCUGGCGAGUUACAGCACAUAAAUGGACAAAGGUAACGAAAAAGGAGCGAAAAGAGAAGGUGUCGCGACGAGAGCUACUGGGCUACCUGAGAUACUUGACGUCAUAAAUCACUCGUUGAAACGCAUUUGGGCGCAAGGGACAGGAUACUCCAAAUCGACUUCUUGACUCCGAGUCCUUAAUAAUUGCCGAUGAUGAAUCGGCUGAGCCUAAACUUAACGAGCCUAACGACAAUGACAACAGCUGCUCCACGACUGAUCCCAUCGAAUUGACACUCGGAAAAAAAAAAUUAUGCGUCUUGUAUGAACGUGGAACUUGGCUUGAAGCAAAUAUUACGAAGAAAUAAAAUCGCAGCUUAAUUUAUUCUUCGAAAUUCCGAUAUCUUUCUGACGUUUUUUGCCUAGAUAAGGGAUGAAAAGAGGAAACACAUUGCGACGAAAGGAGAAAGUGCAAUGGAGGACGGCGAAUGGGAAAGAGAACGCGCGAAAGAAUUAUCUAUAUAUUUUCUUUCAUGUCGUGCGUGCACCGUGCGAAGCAGUUAAGCAAAGGUCACAAGUUGAGCAAUCUGUCCGUUUAUCGGUGCAAACAACGUUUGCAGCGUGAGUGCGUGAUGCGACAGACGGCGAAGAAGAGGUUGAUGAAUCUUCCACGCCGGGGCGGCUGUCUCGAUGAAACUCCAGUUCAUCUUUCCUGUAUCAAGAUCCAUGAGUGAAGAUGAGAGAGAAAGAGAGAUCUCCCUCUUUCAGAGCGAUCAAAACUUCCGGGAAUAAUUGGAUAAAUGUAAAAAGAGAUGAAAACGUCCGCCGGGGACUGGACUCGAGUAAGUGCGGUAGCCACGGUGAGGGAGUAAGGAACGUGUUGUGGGGCACGGCAGGAGAACAGAGGUAGGAGGAGGAGGAGAAGGAAGAGGAGGUGGAGGAGGAAGAGGAGGAGGAGGAA